CUUGUAUUUGCAUAUUGACCCAUCUGGAUUGAGUUUUGUUUUAAAAACUCAUCUUACACCUAUCACUUUGCGAUGCUUAGGCCUUUCAAUCAACUGCCAUGUUGCAUUUUUGUUGAUCAUUUCCAUUUCUGCCUCCAUUGCUCUCCUCCAUGCUGGAAAUUCUUGAGCUUCAGUAUAGCUGGUUGGUUCUAGAAUUGCCAUGUUGCAUCUUAGGUGAAUAUCUUCCAAUGAUCUUGUGCCUCUAACUGGAAAGUCAUCCACUGAUUCAUCAGCUACCAGCUGAGGUUGAAUGGUGAAUGGUUGAUCAGAAAUCAUAUUUUUCUGAUGUUCCCAAUCCCAUGUGAUUGCUUCAUCAACCUUCACAUCUCUGCUGAGAAUUACCUUCUCUGUUUGUAAGCAAAGGAUUCUGUAUCCUUUGGUAGUUAUUCCAUAGCCCACAAGAACUCCCUUCUGAGCUUUGUUGUCAAGUUUGCUCCUCUUUGGCUUAGCUAUAUGAUAAUAACAUAUGCUGCCAAAGAUUCGAAGAUGAUCUACAGCAGGUUUGACACCAUUCCAGCCUUCAUAUGGUGUCUUGUCCUCCAGUGCUUUGGUUGGAAGUCGGUUCAGCAAGUAAACAGAGUGUACUGGUGCACAAUGCCUCUGCUGUUGCAAAACUCAAGAAACUGAUUUGAGAACACUUGUUCUCCAGAAGGAUCAAAGAUAGUGCAUUUAUGAUCCUUAAACUGAAAAGAAUAGUUUUUCUCCAUCAUUUGUCCAACACUCAACAAAUUUUGACUGAUUUCAGAAAUUCUCCAUUGCCAACCUUUACUCUGGAUUUGUAAGAUUCAUCAAGGGUUUUGAACAUUCCAGCAUCAUUGCACAAAUGGUGUGUGCAUCCACUAUCGAUAAGCCAAGUAUCAGUUGAAUCAUUUGUUGAGAAACAAGUGACAGCAAAGAAUUGCUCCUCCUGUGUAUCAACUUCAUCCGUAAGUGAGUGCAAGGAGGAAACUUCUUCUGUUUUGAACCUUCACUGGUGUUGCCCCCUUCAUUUUUGCCUUUACUUCUCAGAUUAAGCAACUUCUUUCCUUUUACAGCUUGUUGUUUUUGCACAUAAAAGGCUCUUUCUGUCAAUCUGUCUUGCCUGAUUGUUCUUCGUUGCUCCUGUGCAUGAAGAGCACUCAUUAGUUCACCUAAUGAGAUUUUACUGAGGUCCUUUGAUUCUUCCAGAGAGGAGAUUUUGGAUUCAAACCUCUCAGGAAGAGUCACAAGAACCUUCUCCACAAUCCUGCUGUCAGGAAAGUCUUCUCCAAGUAAUCUGAUGUUGUUGAUAAUUAGUGAAAUUCGAUCAGAAUACUUGGAGAUUGUUUCAUCUUCUUGCAUGUUAAGUGCCUCAGAAUCUCUCUUCAAAUUCAGCACUUGCAUUUGCCUUGUUCUGUCACUGCCUUGGUAUUCUUCUUUUAGUUUGUUCCAAGCCUCUUUGGCUGAAUUGCAUGCCAUAAUUCUGUAGAAAAUGCUUUCUGCCACAGAAUUCUGGAUGAUUGAUUUUGCCUUGGAUUUCUUUGCCUUUUCCUCACUACUGAACUUGAUUUGAGCCAUAGUGGGAUUUGUUGGUAAGGGAGCUACUGGUUUGUCUUCGGAAACAAUUUCCCAAAGAUCAUAAGCUUCAAGAAAAGCUUGCAUCUUCACUGACCAAAUGUGGUAGUUUUUGCCAGUGAAUAUAAUGGGGGAGUUUAAAAGUAGGUUGUUGGAUGUCAUUUUUUUGAGAUUUUUGAAAAAAAUGUUUUGGUCCUAUAAGAUCUAAAAGAGCUCUGAUACCACUGUUGAGAAUUAUGUUGCUAUGUUUUGUGCAGGUGAAGGGAUGCACAAUCAAGAACAACAAUGCUGAGUAAUGAAGAACACGAACUACACACAAGGUGUUUGAUAAAAUGUCUCAAUGAGUAUUUCAUUAACUGCAUGUCUUUAAAUACAUGAGAAAACUUAACAAACUUCCCUAGUUAUCAGCCACUAACUUUGUAGUGGACAAUGUGCUACCACUAACUCUGUAGUGGACAAUGUGCUUCCACUCACUCAGCAACAACUUCAGAAAAACAAGGGAUUUACUUUGACCAAAUCAAAACAGAAAUGAAAAGAAAAGAAAACAGACAAUACUUGAU
Long non-coding RNA from Populus nigra (black poplar), 2132 nucleotides. RefSeq lists it as uncharacterized. The transcript has 5 exons. The record is from RefSeq and is a predicted model, not a curated record. Lineage: Eukaryota; Viridiplantae; Streptophyta; Magnoliopsida; Malpighiales; Salicaceae.